AUACGGAGGAUCCGAGCGUUAUCCGGAUUUAUUGGGUUUAAAGGGUGCGCAGGCGGCCAUUUAAGUCAGCGGUUAAAUCGUGGGGCUCAACCCCAUUCUGCCGUUGAUACUGGGUGGCUUGAUUGCGGUCGAGGUUGGCGGAAUUCGUUGUGUAGCGGUGAAAUGCAUAGAUAUGACGAAGAACACCGAUUGCGUAGGCAGCUGACCAGACCGCAAAUGACGCUCAUGCACGAAAGUGCGGGGAUCGAACAGGAUUAGAUACCCUGGUAGUCCGCACAGUAAACGAUGAAUACUUGUUUUCGGCGAUAUAAUGUCGGAGGCAAAGCGAAAGCGAUAGGUAUUCCACCUGGGGAGUACGCCGGCAACGGUGAAACUCAAAGGAAUUGACGGGG
Molecule: ribosomal RNA, 392 nt
Filed under: uncultured bacterium
Lineage: Bacteria
Description: partial 16S ribosomal RNA
Rfam family: Bacterial small subunit ribosomal RNA
Source: RNAcentral